This 475-nucleotide ribosomal RNA is filed under the name uncultured bacterium. RNAcentral's name for it is "partial 16S ribosomal RNA". It matches the Rfam family "Bacterial small subunit ribosomal RNA", at positions 28 to 523 of the family's 1533-position model. The record is from RNAcentral.
GGUGAACGCUGGCGGCGUGCUUAAGACAUGCAAGUCGAACGCAGUCUUCGGACUGAGUGGCGCACGGGUGAGUAACACGUAACUGACCUACCCCCAAGUCGCGGAUAACUGGCCGAAAGGUCAGCUAAUACGUGAUGUGACGUCCCCUUUCUGGGGGGCCAUUAAAGGUUUACUGCUUGGGGAUGGGGUUGCGUUCCAUCAGCUAGUUGGCGGGGUAAAGGCCCACCAAGGCAACGACGGAUAGCCGGCCUGAGAGGGUGGCCGGCCACAGGGGCACGGAGACACGGGUCCCACUCCUACGGGAGGCAGCAGUUAGGAAUCUUCCGCAAUGGGCGAAAGCCUGAUGGAGCGACGCCGCGUGAGGGAUGAAGGUUCUCGGAUCGUAAACCUCUGAAUCAGGGACGAAAGACGCGUAAGCGGGAUGACGGUACCUGAGUAAUAGCACCGGCUAACUCCGUGCCAGCCGCCGCAGUAA